This 2004-nucleotide ribosomal RNA is filed under the name Triticum aestivum (bread wheat). Its description in RNAcentral is "partial small subunit ribosomal RNA". Lineage: Eukaryota; Viridiplantae; Streptophyta; Magnoliopsida; Poales; Poaceae. The record is from RNAcentral.
AUGGAGACCGGAGACCAUGGCUCGGUGCCAUGCUCCUAUGCCCAGCUGCUGGACGAUGCGGAGGCCGAUCGCACGCGCCCAGGCCGAACCGGGCCACUGUGCGCCGCUAUUCUCCUGACUUCGGCGGCGGUGCUCCUCGCUGUUGCCGCGCUCGCCGGCGUCAGGCUCGCGGGCCAGCUGUCGGCCGCCGGCGUCAUCAUGUCCGGCCACCCGAGCACGGUCGACGCGGCGCCGAUGAGCGCCAGCAGCCGGGGGCCUGAGUCUGCCGUCUCAGAAAAGACGUCCGGAACCGCCACGCACGGCGGCAUGCUGGGCGCGGAGGCCGGCGGCAACGCGUUCCCGUGGAGCAAUGCCAUGCUCCAGUGGCAGCGCACCGGAUUCCACUUCCAGCCCGAGAAGAACUGGAUGAACGACCCCAACGGUCCGGUGUACUACAAGGGGUGGUACCAUCUCUUCUACCAGUACAACCCGGACGGCGCUAUUUGGGGCAACAAGAUAGCAUGGGGCCACGCCGCGUCCCGCGACCUCCUCCGCUGGCGCCACCUCCCAGUUGCCAUGUCUCCGGACCAAUGGUAUGACAUCAAUGGCGUCUGGUCAGGUUCUGCCACCGUCCUCCCCGACGGCCGCAUCGUCAUGCUCUACACCGGAUCCACCAAUGCCUCCGUCCAGGUCCAGUGCCUCGCCUUUCCGACUGAUCCCUCCGACCCAUUGCUAAUCAACUGGACCAAGUAUGAGAACAACCCAGUGAUGUACCCGCCACCCGGUGUCGGGGAGAAGGACUUCAGGGACCCGACCACUGCAUGGUUUGACGGCUCUGAUGACACAUGGCGGCUCGUCAUUGGAUCCAAGGAUGACCGCCAUGCCGGCAUGGUCAUGACCUACAAGACCAAGGAUUUCAUCGACUAUGAGCUUGUCCCCGGAUUGCUUCACCGGGUGCCGGGGACGGGGAUGUGGGAGUGCAUCGACCUAUACCCGGUCGAAGGCGUGAGGGGCAUUGACAUGACGGACGCGGUGGCGGCAGUGUCCACCAAUGGCGCUGACGAUGUGUUGCACGUGAUGAAGGAGAGCUCUGACGAUGACCGACACGACUACUACGCGUUGGGGAGGUAUAACGCGGCGAAGAACACAUGGACACCGCUGGACGUCGACGCCGAUCUCGGCAUCGGGCUAAGGUACGACUGGGGGAAGUUCUACGCGUCCAAGACGUUCUACGAUCCGGCAAAGAAGCGGCGCGUGCUAUGGGGGUGGGUUGGUGAAACCGACUCCGAGCGCGCCGACGUCGCCAAGGGAUGGGCCUCGCUCCAGUCGACCCCUCGCACGGUGGUGCUGGACACUAAGACGGGAAGCAACCUCCUUCAGUGGCCGGUGGAGGAGGUGGAGACGCUCCGGACCAACUCCACUAACCUUGGCGGCGUCACCAUUGACCACGGCUCCGUCUUUCCACUCAGCCUUCAUCGCGCCACCCAGCUAGACAUCGAGGCCACAUUCCGCCUCGACCCGCUAGACAUUGCCGUCGCCAAUGAGGCUGAUGUGGGCUACAAUUGCAGCACAAGCGGUGGUGCCGCAGGGCGGGGCAUGCUCGGCCCCUUUGGCCUCCUUGUGCUUGCCGACGCCAGGCGCCAUGGAGGUGACGCAGAGCGUACUGCCGUCUACUUCUAUGUGGCCAGGGGCCUCGACGGCGGCUUGCACACACACUUCUGCCAUGAUGAGACACACUCAUCUCGUGCCAACGACAUUGUCAAGAGGGUCGUAGGCCAUACCGUGCCGGUGCUCGAUGGCGAGGAGCUGUCAGUGAGGGUGCUUGUGGAUCAUUCGAUCGUUGAGAGCUUUGCGAUGGGUGGGAGGUUGACGGCAACAUCACGAGUGUACCCAACGGAGGCCAUCUACGCCAACGCCGGGGUGUACCUCUUCAACAAUGCCACCGGCGCCCGGGUCACCACCACCAGGCUCGUCGUCCACGAGAUGGACUCUUCCUACAACCAAGCCUACAUGGCCUCAUUGUAA